GACGAACGCUGGCGGCGUGCUUAACACAUGCAAGUCGAGCGGUAAGGCCCUUUCGGGGGUACACGAGCGGCGAACGGGUGAGUAACACGUGGGUGACCUGCCCUCAGCUCUGGGAUAAGCCUGGGAAACCGGGUCUAAUACCGUAUAUGACUCCAUGACGCAUGUUGUGGGGUGGAAAGCCUUGUGCGGCUGAGGAUGGGCCCGCGGCCUAUCAGCUUGUUGGUGGGGUGAUGGCCUACCAAGGCGACGACGGGUAGCCGGCCUGAGAGGGCGACCGGCCACACUGGGACUGAGACACGGCCCAGACUCCUACGGGAGGCAGCAGGUGGGGAAUCUUGCGCAAUGGGCGAAAGCCUGACGCAGCGACGCCGCGUGAGGGAUGACGGCCUGGU
RNAcentral lists this ribosomal RNA (392 nucleotides) under uncultured bacterium. Its description in RNAcentral is "bacterial SSU rRNA". It matches the Rfam family "Bacterial small subunit ribosomal RNA", at positions 28 to 420 of the family's 1533-position model. The record is from RNAcentral.